UACGUAGGGAGCAAGCGUUGUCCGGAAUCAUUGGGCGUAAAGCGCGCGUAGGUGGCCUCGUAAGUCCGCUGUGAAAGUCAAAGGCUCAACCUUUGAAAGCCGGUGGAUACUGUGAGGCUAGAGUACGGAAGAGGCGAGUGGAAUUCCUGGUGUAGCGGUGGAGUGCGCAGAUAUCAGGAGGAACACCAAUAGCGAAGGCAGCUCGCUGGGACGUAACUGACACUGAGGCGCGAAAGCGUGGGGAGCGAACAGG
This 253-nucleotide ribosomal RNA is filed under the name uncultured bacterium. RNAcentral describes it as "partial 16S ribosomal RNA". It matches the Rfam family "Bacterial small subunit ribosomal RNA", at positions 524 to 776 of the family's 1533-position model. The record is from RNAcentral.